UACGAAGGGGGCUAGCGUUGUUCGGAAUUACUGGGCGUAAAGCGCACGUAGGCGGAUAUUUAAGUCCGAUGUGAAAUCCCAGGGCUCAACCCUGGAAGUGCAUCGGAUACUGUGUGGCUUGAGUUCCGGAGAGGAUGGUGGAAUUCCCAGUGUAGAGGUGAAAUUCGUAGAUAUUGGGAGGAACACCGGUGGCGAAGGCGACCAUCUGGACGAGAACUGACACUGAGGCGCGAAAGCGUGGGGAGCAAACAGG
This 253-nucleotide ribosomal RNA is filed under the name uncultured bacterium. RNAcentral describes it as "partial 16S ribosomal RNA". It matches the Rfam family "Bacterial small subunit ribosomal RNA", at positions 524 to 776 of the family's 1533-position model. The record is from RNAcentral.